CAAGUUACAGAUUGCUUUAUCCGCUUGUCUUCCCCUUAUGCCAUAGUUUGUAGUGUACAUCUCAAUUGUCAGUAGAAACCACAUCUGUUUAAGCAAGUCAGCAAUAUCAGUUCUGUUUUUUUAAAGGCAGUAAAUGAGGGGGAUAGAUCCCAAUGAGAACACACACCUACACACAUUCACACACAAGUCUUGCCAUACAUCAAUAAUUACUGGAGUGACCACCCUCUUAGAAUCUUACCUGGAAGGCCCCUGUAACCUUGGAACUUCACAGCUACGUUUCAAGUGUUAAUGUCACAUGCUCAAGUACAGUGACAUUACUUUCUUGCAAACUCAAAACCCAACAAUGCAAUACUCAAUAACAAUGUAAUACUAGAAAAAAAACAUGAGAAAUAAGAACACAAUAAGUAAGUAAGCAUAUUAUAUAUACAGGGUCAGUUUUAAUGCCAUAUUUAAAAUGUGCAGGGAUACUAGAGUGAUGGAGGUAGAUAUGUAUAGGGGUAAGGAGACAGGGAUACUGGAGUGAUGGAGGUAGAUAUGUAUGUUAGGUGACAGAGAUACUGGAGUGAUGGAGGUAGAUAUGUAUAGGGGUAAGGAUACAGGGAUACUGGAGUGAUGGAGGUAGAUAUGUAUAGGGGUAAGGUGACAGGGAUACUGGAGUGAUGGAGGUAGAUAUGUAUAGGGGUAAGGUGACAGGGAUACUGGAGUGAUGGAGGUAGAUAUUAUAGGGGUAAGGUGACAGGGAUACUAGAGUGAUGGAGGUAGAUAUGUAUAGGGGUAAGGAGACAGGGAUACUGGAGUGAUGGAGGUAGAUAUGUAUGUUAGGUGACAGAGAUACUGGAGUGAUGGAGGUAGAUAUGUAUAGGGGUAAGGUGACAGGGAUACUGGAGUGAUGGAGGUAGAUAUGUAUAGGGGUAAGGUGACAGGGAUACUGGAGUGAUGGAGGUAGAUAUGUAUAGGGGUAAGGUGACAGGGAUACUGGAGUGAUGGAGGUAGAUAUGUAUAGGGGUAAGGUGACAGGGAUACUGGAGUGAUGGAGGUAGAUAGUGUAUGUAUAGCCGUAAGGUGACAGGGAUACUGGAGUGAUGGAGGUAGAUAUGUAUAGGGGUAAGGUGACAGGGAUACUGGAGUGAUGGAGGUAGAUAUGUAUAGGGGUAAGGUGACAGGGAUACUGGAGUGAUGGAGGUAGAUAUGUAUAGGGGUAAGGUGACAGGGAUACUGGAGUGAUGGAGGUAGAUAUGUAUAGCCGUAAGGUGACAGGGAUACUGGAGUGAUGGAGGUAGAUAUGAAUAGAGGUAAGGUGACUAGGCAACAAGAUAUAACAAACUGAGUAGCAGCAGCUUGUAUGUAAUAACAGCAGCUUGUAUGUAGAUGGAGUGAGUGAGUGUUAGAGUGACAGUGUUUGUGUGUUGGAGUGACAGUGUGUUAGUGUUGGGGAAAUUAUGAUUAAAUGACUGAACAAAUUAUUUUAAAUGGAACUGUAACUAAGUAAAACUUAUACUCUGUUUUAUUAUAUCUGAUUAACAAUAUGAGUUCAUAAGAAGGGAUUGUGUGACACGGACAAGGAGUAAUUAAAGUUAAUGAACACCAUUCCAACUACGCAGAAACGAAUGGGUUGGGGACUGUGUAAACACAUAAGGUCGUUAACCUAAUGUUGAACCUACAGAAACUUAGCUCUGGGGUUUUUAGAUAAGGCAGUGAGUGCAUUCCUAGGUUUUCUGUUAAUUAAAACUGUCAGUUCAGUGGUGAUCGAUAAUGUUGAGGGGUCAAAAGUUAUCUGGGAGUAUGUUAGUAAGUUAGAAUGAACUUUUCACCUCACUUUGUCCCGGUCGAGAGGAGGGGAUUCUGUUAAAGCAAUGAAAU
Molecule: long non-coding RNA, 1860 nt
Organism: Oncorhynchus tshawytscha (Chinook salmon)
Lineage: Eukaryota; Metazoa; Chordata; Actinopteri; Salmoniformes; Salmonidae
Source: Ensembl